GGUUUGUGCUUAAAUAGUCUCGCAUUCACUGACUGACCGUUCCUAGCACAAGAGGCAAAGGACUCGGUGGUUGGUAUCUGAGAUCUCAAGUUCGAAUCCUGAUUGAUUCAUAUUUCUAGCUAAGUUUAUUUUUAAAUAAAGCAAAACUAGUCUCGCAGUUUUAUUCUUGAUUAACUUCAAUUUGUACCCUGCGCAGCAGCUGCGCUAUAACGCAACUUCACUUUACCACCUCGUAGUUUAAAAAAUUAUAUUUAAUUAUUUUUAUUUCACAAGAUCAUAUAAUAUCCUGUUUAAUAAUAAAUUCUUGUUGUGAAAUAAAAAUAAAAUCACAUAAUUCUUAAGUGUAACUUUCUAAAAAGUUAUACUACUCUAUUGUCUUCU
Molecule: long non-coding RNA, 381 nt
Filed under: Ananas comosus (pineapple)
Lineage: Eukaryota; Viridiplantae; Streptophyta; Magnoliopsida; Poales; Bromeliaceae
Description: long non-coding RNA (ACOM_LNC020586)
Source: RNAcentral